RNAcentral lists this ribosomal RNA (462 nucleotides) under uncultured bacterium. RNAcentral's name for it is "bacterial SSU rRNA". It matches the Rfam family "Bacterial small subunit ribosomal RNA", at positions 10 to 507 of the family's 1533-position model. The record is from RNAcentral.
AGUUUGAUCCAUGGCUCAGGAUGAACGCUGGCGGCGUGCCUAAUACAUGCAAGUCGAGCGGAAAGGCCUCUUCGGAGGUACUCGAGCGGCGGACGGCAGAGUAACGCGUAGGAACAUACCCCAAACUGAGGGAUAACUGCCCGAAAGGGUGGCUAAUACCGCAUGUGAUCUUCGGAUUAAAGCUUCGGCGGUUUGGGAAUGGCCUGCGUUCGAUUAGCUAGUUGGUGAGGUAAAGGCUCACCAAGGCGACGAUCGAUAACUGGUCUGAGAGGAUGAUCAGUCUGACUGGAACUGAGACACGGUCCAGACUCCUACGGGAGGCAGCAGUAGGGAAUUUUCCACAAUGGGCGAAAGCCUGAUGGAGCAACGCCGCGUGCAGGAUGAAGGCCCUUGGGUCGUAAACUGUCUUUAUGUGAGAAGAAUAUGACGGUAACACAUGAAUAAGGGUCGGCUAACUACGUG